This 464-nucleotide ribosomal RNA is filed under the name uncultured bacterium. RNAcentral describes it as "partial 16S ribosomal RNA". It matches the Rfam family "Bacterial small subunit ribosomal RNA", at positions 339 to 795 of the family's 1533-position model. The record is from RNAcentral.
CUACGGGGGGCUGCAGUGGGGAAUAUUGCACAAUGGGCGCAAGCCUGAUGCAGCCAUGCCGCGUGUAUGAAGAAGGCCUUCGGGUUGUAAAGUACUUUCAGCGGGGAGGAAGGGAGUAAAGUUAAUACCUUUGCUCAUUGACGUUACCCGCAGAAGAAGCACCGGCUAACUCCGUGCCAGCAGCCGCGGUAAUACGGAGGGUGCAAGCGUUAAUCGGAAUUACUGGGCGUAAAGCGCACGCAGGCGGUUUGUUAAGUCAGGUGUGAAAUCCCCGGGCUCAACCUGGGAACUGCAUCUGAUACUGGCAAGCUUGAGUCUCGUAGAGGGGGGUAGAAUUCCAGGUGUAGCGGUGAAAUGCGUAGAGAUCUGGAGGAAUACCGGUGGCGAAGGCGGCCCCCUGGGCGAAGACUGACGCUCAGGUGCGAAAGCGUGGGGAGCAAACAGGAUUAGAUACCCGCGUAGUC